UGAUUUGUAUGAUGUGUCAGUAGAGGGCAUCAACCCAUUGAUCUUUUGUAGUUUGUAUUAAACUUGAACUGAGAAAAAA
Small nucleolar RNA from Homo sapiens (human), 79 nucleotides. The record is from RefSeq and is marked validated. NCBI's taxonomy places the organism in Eukaryota, Metazoa, Chordata, Mammalia, Primates, Hominidae.